Long non-coding RNA from Daphnia carinata, 1546 nucleotides. RefSeq lists it as uncharacterized. The transcript has 5 exons. NCBI's taxonomy places the organism in Eukaryota, Metazoa, Arthropoda, Branchiopoda, Diplostraca, Daphniidae. The record is from RefSeq and is a predicted model, not a curated record.
ACCGAAGGACGAUGAUUUCGAAAUAGGGCAAAUGUGGAUCGGUUAACUAAUUACGGUUAUAUCUACCUUUGGUUGGCAUAAAGAGAACAGCUGACUGUCUAUCGGAGGUGCCGGUGUGACAUGUCCAUGGCAGAAGCAUGGUAAAAAAUCAGCGUAAUAUAAUUCAUCCAACUGUGAGCAACUGUGUCAGUUUCGGGAUUAAGAGCCCUCAGUAAAUACAACAACGAGCCAUAUUCAAGUUGUAGGACAAAGUUUGUACAGCCGUGAUUAUUCCCAAACAUCUAUGCAGUCGGAAAUACUUGACAGGCAAAUGCAAGGAUACUCUAUCGUCAUCUGAGAUGUUAUACAUGAAAACCGCUCAAAAGAAGGCAGGUGCACGGCGAGCAAGACUUCGAAAAUUUCUAACCGAAGCAUAGUGAAUACAAUUGUCUUCUCAACCAUAAGUUAGCUGCCUUGCAUUUCCGAUUACAUAGAUCCAUGCUAUGGCAAUUUGUAUAGCCCUUGGAAGACCUUUGUUACCAAUACGACUCUAUAGCUGGCCUUCAAGCGUCACCACUGGCUCGAGGCCAACCUUGGCACCUAAAUUCAUAAAAGCAAGUCAAUCCUACCCGAGUGCAUGACAUUCUACCGAUGAGAUGAUUCAGCUGUGUAUGUAGGAUAUGGUUUGGACCCCACCUCCAUGAAAGCAGAACGUUCUAUGGAUUUUCACAACACAUUGCCUAAGGACGAAUGGUAAUCAGCUAAGAAGCAUUAGUUUUACCAUUAACAUGAAUCAUCGGCACCAUCGAAAUGACACGUUUCAUCGAAUAAACACAUUGUCUAAAGAAGAAAGGUAAUCGAGUAAAUCCAUCAUUCAGUCUUACCAUGAACGAGAAUCAUACGCGCCAACAACCUUGAUGCAGCGAAGACGCUAUGGCAAACGUGAAAAUACAACGGCAGUAGUUGCAAUGCAGAUCAAUAUCUGGGAUUGCUUACGUGAAGAAAUUUCUGAAAUGCUGGUGAAGAUCUUUUAAAUGUGGUACCCAUAAGACAUAUUACCUUUUAAGACAAUUUCCCUAGAUCUAGGGCAAAAUCAAAACAUCUGCCAGUCCUUGUGAACCCACUACUUUGUGGCUGCUGGUGCAUUUUUCACAGGAACUUCAACAUUGCCCGUGUGUUGUAACUGCUGCAAGUACUAGCUAUAAAUGUUCCGCUGCAAUGGAAGUCCAUCAGCAUUAAGUAACCUGAGCAGAAAAAUUCAAAUCAGAACAAAACAGUCUAUUACUUAGAUUAUAUAGAGGCCAAAACAAAGAUGGAUGUUUAAUGUGAUGUGGGUUGGGUGCGUCUGCCAAGGAUGUUUAAUGUGAAUACUACAAUCUUGGUCUUUCAAAGACAACAUAAUUUAUCCUUCUCAAAAUUAAUCAAAUAUUAGUAUCAAUUUAUUCACAAGUCAGUAAGCACAGAUUACUGUGGACAAUUGGAAAUUAGAAAACAUAAUACCUACCUACCAAGGUGAAUCGAAAUUCCGAUUACAUUCCUGAUCCAUGUACUACACCACACUUCUACU